Molecule: long non-coding RNA, 3991 nt
Organism: Ictalurus furcatus (blue catfish)
Lineage: Eukaryota; Metazoa; Chordata; Actinopteri; Siluriformes; Ictaluridae
Exons: 4
Source: RefSeq, a predicted model, not a curated record
UAAGAUUGACACUCCAUGUAAACAGAUGAAAAAAGACAUGUGUAAUUGUGGAUUAUGGCAAAAUUUUCUCUGAGGAGACGUUUAUUUAACAUAACAUUUAAGGAAGGAGUCUCCAGUAUAAGCGCUUUGUAACAAGUCAGAGGUAAAGUUGUAACUUUAAUGGGAUUGUCUUCAGGAUGGAGUGCUUUGUGGACAAGCUGCUUUAAAAAAAAAAAUCUAAUUAACUUCAAAAGCGAGACUGAAGGAAGACAGGAGACAAUGGUCCAGUUCUAAAGCAUCCAAUGGGCCGUUAUUUAUUGCCUAUAAUUUUGCAAACUGAAUACUGAUAUUAGGACGUGUCCUAACUCCUCGAAAACAAUGGAACAAACAGGCGUGUGUUAGUGUGACUUUGUGCUUCCGGUUAUUAAGCUAUCCCUACCUCAACCUAAGCCACACCAACACUGCAGACACGCUGUGCUGUUCCGAAAAAAGCAUUUUCCCAGAACGGCUACUUCCUGAUGAAAAGAAGACUUCAGCACCAAGGCGUUUUAACCAGAAAUGGCCGCUUGGACCAGCCCACAGUGGCAGACCGAUUGAGUGAGAUAUGAGCUGCCAGCCCAGAAAAUCUCUCCUCCAAGCGGAUGACAGAAUCAUACAAAUGAGCAAGUUCUCACAGAUCUUAGCCGGUCCGAACUCAGAGCUAACGACUGUGUGCAUCAGUCAGCUCUCUGUAUUCUAGAUCUGUAGCAUAGCCAGGGAUUGAAAAAAAAUUUCUUUACAGUAGUGCAAAUCACAACCCGCUUUUAUUGUGUCUCUCUGUUUGCCUGGUCACUAGAACUGAAUGGGUUUCAUCCAAAUCAUUCUUGUACUAUAUUUGCUCAUAAGUCUUCAUGUACUGUAAGGGAAUGCACCUUUUGCAUCCUGCUUCAUUUCCCAUUUAAGUGAUUUUUACCAGAUGCAUUUUAUUUGUAUUUGGUUUGACUGCCUUUUAACCUUCGAUACUUCAUCAGAACAAUGCGCCAACUGUCAUUUCCUCGUUUUCUUUCCGGUAUGCUAGCCUGUAAGGAUCUUGUAAUGUUCUGAGUGACAUGGCACAAUCGUAAACGAUGCUUUAUAUGACAUUCUAGCACAUUAUUGGUGUAACUAUUUCAGAUUUACUUAUUACCCCCAUCGUGGACAAUAUAUUCAGUUUUACAUUCAGUUUUUUCAUGGUGUGGCCAUGUACUUUUUACAUGUUAGAGAACAUGUGUUUAGCUAAAACUGUGACAUAUAGUACAUUCACAAUUUAGCUUUAGAUGCAGCCUUUAAUCUUCAAAUUCUUGUUGUUAAUUAUCUUCGAACAUAAUUCACGCUCUGUCAUUCAUACAUCUUUCUUCAAUCUCAUACAUUGUCCCAGAAUUGCUGCAUUGUGCUUUCCUUUCCUCCUCCAUCUCAUAUUCUUCCUCUUGUUGCCACUGCUAGAUUCUGUUCCAGUGUGUUGGAUUAUAGUCAUUACGUAUAAACUGUGUUUUUUUUCCAUCUGGUAUGAUUUUUAACGUUCAAGCCAGUCAAAGUAAUACCAGUGCUCACUGGAUUACUUUCUUUUCUUGUUGGUGUUCACACAGACUCUGGGCUAUUUGUGUUCAAUGAUGGUGGAUUUGUCAGGUGAUUGGUGUGCUUUUUGAACAUGUAAUUCUAUAUAAUAAAAAAAACGGGAUUCUUCUAGGUAGGCCUUCUUGUUCCUGGAAAAUUUUGCCAACAGCUGCACUGCAGAAAAAUGACAUCUUAGCAAGUAGAAAUACCUUGAAUAUGGUCAGAUUUAUUUAGAAUGUCCUAUUAUAAUAAUUCAGUAAACCAAAUAUAAGAUUAUGAAACCUAUUUCAAGCCAUUUGUGCUCAUUUAAAGCUUGAAAUAAUAUUGCUCUAUUGGCAGAUAAUUGUGCUUCUUUAAGAAAUAAAUGCUUAAAAUGAGUGAAAUUUUCUGUCAGUAGAGCAAGAUUGAAAAAUGACUACAUAUUGAAAUCUGUUUUGUUUGUUUAUAGAAGUUGGUGAGGACCACACAAUUGUUAUUUGGGCCCUAAUAACUAAAUCACCACAAGUUGUUUAAAAGGGUUUCAUGAUAAAAGCCUCUACUCUCAUCCAAAAACAAACUCAAGCAUCUUCAGUUUGUCAGACACUACUGGAACUUCAAAUGGGAUCAGGUUCUAUGGUCAGAUGAAACCAAAAUAGAGCUUUUUGGCAAUAAACACCAGAGGUGGUUUUGGCGCACACAGAGAGGUAGCCAUAUGGAAAAGUACCUCAUGCCCACGGUUAAAUAUGGUGGUAGCUCUUUAAUGUUUUGGGGCUGUUUUUCUGCCAGAGGACCUGGACAUUUUGUUAGGAUACAUGGCAUAAUGGACUCUAUCAAAUAUCAACAUAUAUUAAAUGAAAACUUGACUAGCGGUUAAGGCUCUGGGUUACUGAGUGGAAGAAGAGGGGUUCAAACCCCAGCACAGCUGAGCACUGUUGAGCAAGGCCCUUAACCCUCUCUGCUCCAGGGGUGCUGUAUUGUGGCUGUCCCUGCGCUCUGACCCAGCUUCCUAAAAUGCUGGGGUAUGCGAAGAAAAGAAUUUCAUUGUGCUGUAAUGUAUAUAUGACCAAUGUAUAUGUCAUUAUCACUCAUUAUCAUUAUCAUUAAAACAUGCAUGCCAUGGCCAUCCCAGUCCCCUGACUUGAAACCCAUAGAAAACCUGUGGGGUGAACUGAAGACGAGAGUCCACCAGUGUGGGCUCAAAAUGUGAAAGAUCUGGAGAGAUUCUGUAUGGAGGAAUGGUCUAAGAUCCCUUGCCAUGUAUUCUCCAACCUCAUCAGGAAUUAUAGGAGAAGACUCAGAGCUGUUAUCUUGGCAAAGGGAGGAAGCACAAAGUAUUGACUAAAAGAGUGGCAAUUUUUUUAUCAAAGAUCAAAAGGUUAAACGAUAAGGACAAUUGUUUUGGGGGUUUAUACGGCCUUCUUUUCUCAUAUUUACCAAGGGCGCCAAUACGUGUAUAUAUAUAUAUAUAUACAUAUUGUUUUUUCUUCCAUUAGGAAGAAUCCAAGCACUGCUGCUGUUUAUUUUGUGGCUUGUUUCAAGGCAUGAGUCAAAUGCAAGAUCUUGUUUUUACUUGAGGACUAUGCUAUUUGAUCACACACUGCUUAACGGUAACCCUAACCAGGACCGAAGAUACUCAGGGUUUUCCCAGAAACCUUCCUGAUUAGUGCCUUCCAGUUGCUGUUUUUCAUAGAAAGAGUCCUGGAAAUUGGUGGACAUUUCUCCUUUUAUUAAACAGUGUAAAUCUGUGUCUCUUUGGUUAGAACGAUGCAGUUAGGUAAUGGAUAUCGGGUCUCGUUGCUGUAGUUACUGUUUAUUCUGGAUGUCUCGACGAGUGUUCUCAGUAACCAUGACAUUGCUUGGAGCAACUCAAACGUGCCAAGUCACGAAGUGCGAGUGCCAAAAAAAAAAAGACAGUUCAAGGAAAUGUGCUAUAAUAUCCUUUUAAAUCUACUCUAAUUUCUAUGAACAUAAUUUCUAGAGUUAUUUCUGAAUUAUUUUUUUUUAAUAGUCCCUCAUGCAGGUAGUUGUUUUAAAUGUCUUCAUGAUGAGCCCAGAACUAAGUUUUUUUUUAAUCAUUUUUGCUAACAAAGCAGUUUCUUUGCUUUUCAAUUACGAUAUUUAUCAGAGGUUAAAUAAUGACUGGGUGGUCUUCACCAACUUCUACAAACAAACAAACAAACAAACUAAUAACCUAAGGUGACAACAAAAAAAAACACACAACACAUUUCAAUAUGUAGUCACCCCCCCCCCUCAAAAAAAGUAAACCAACAUUCAGAAAGCAGGUGGGGAAAUAAUAAGUACACCCUUCCUACUUCCACAAUGAUUGAGAGAGAAAUGAGCAGCCAGAUGUUCCUAAAGAAAUGCACAAGAUUAUUUAUUCACCAAAUUCACCAUUCACCAUUAUUUAUUCACUACCUCUAUAAAAACAGACAUUGUGGCAGGUUGGUGUUGUGGAGCACUC